AUAUUAAUAAGCGGAGGAAAAGAAACUAACAAGGAUUCCCCCAGUAACGGCGAGUGAAGCGGGAAGAGCCCACGUUUGGAAUCUGCCGGGGAACCGGCCGAGUUGUGCGCUGAAGAGGCACGGGAGGCGCAGCGGGCGUGUCCAAGUCUCCUGGAAGGGAGCAUCGCAGAGGGUGAGAAUCCCGUCUGGGCACGGCGGCGAGGCUGGGCCGUGCGCUCGACGAGUCGAGCUGCUUGGGAAUGCAGCUCAAAGGGGUGGUAAACUCCAUCGAAGGCUAAAUAAGCGGCGGGAGACCGAUAGCGCACAAGUA
RNAcentral lists this ribosomal RNA (310 nucleotides) under uncultured eukaryote. RNAcentral describes it as "partial large subunit ribosomal RNA". It matches the Rfam family "Eukaryotic large subunit ribosomal RNA", at positions 40 to 350 of the family's 3401-position model. The record is from RNAcentral.